UCGGAUCCAGGUUAUAUUCUCCGAUGCUUCACAGUGGAUGAUACUCGAAUACCGAACGUUUUUGAAGAUGGCGCCUGUUCUGGGUCCCCCUCACAGGCACGCUUGCAUCUUUCCGAGAGAUCGUUGCAGGGGGAAGUUGACGCAGUCCAGGGGAGAAGACGCGCCUCCCCCCGCCCUUCUUCAGCUCUCCGUCGUAUCCACCAUCUCCCGAAAGCUCAAGGCUGCGGCUCCCCUAAGAUGUUUCGAGUCCCGGCACGGUACUGAUGCGGUUCCCCUCUUCCUCAACUCGUCCUCCGCUGCUCUCGUCGAACAGUGCCGGCGUGGAGCCCGUCUCCGAGAUCGUUAGGCCUUUUGCGGCCUCUUCUAGUUUGAUCGUUCAAAUCUCCGGCAGCACUCAGUCAUCCAAGUUCGGUAAGGAUCUGGUCUUCUGGUUUGGCGUCAUUUCUUGUUAUCUUCCCGAUGAAGCCUCCAUCGUCAUUAUUCCUCACAGCAGCGAUGGAGAUGAAACUAGGAACAAAUAUUGCCCCUUUUAACCGAUGAUUCCAUCUGCAAGCAUCAAAACAUUUCGACCAUAUGAGAGUAUUUUUCAUAGUCAAAGUUCAAUUACAGUUUUUCCUUGAAUUUUAGAAAUAUCAAGCACGAAUCAACCCGUUGCAUGAAGAAACAGCAAAUCUAGCAUCAAUAAAUACUAAUAUUCUAGGUCUCCACGGACAUGAUAAUAUAUUUUGUAAACUUUAGCGAAAGACAACUUGUGUGAUAAAAGGGAAAUGACUUAUGUUUGAUACUGUCCCAUUUGGUUAAAAUCGGUGAAUAAAAGACUGACACUAUGGAGAGAUCAUCAAUGAUUUUGCUUGCAAAUGACUUUGGAUCUCUCCCAAACAGAAAAACUAUGAUGUAUCUCUGAUAAACUUUCAAAAACACAUAACCAGUUCCGGCGAAAGAGAAGUAAAAGAAGAGGAAUCAGAGAGUCAAAAAAGAUCGGGGAUGGUUCGAAAGGAGUAAGUGAAGGGCCUAAGCUUACGGGCUGGGCCGACGGGCUUGAGCUAGAGGAGCCUGACCCACCAGCUUAACGAAUUUAACCGAUGGCUAAUCGAAAUAAAUAUGGAAGGACGCGAUGGAGAGUGUGUGGAAUUUCUAUGACCUUAAUCUGCCCGCUAUCUCUCUCAGUUCCUUCCAGACACUCUCUUUCUCACACACUCUCUCUCUUUCUAGUCUCUUCUCAGUUCUGUCCUCUCUCAUGAACCUGAUUCUGUUCCUAGAUUGUUAAUUUCCAGAAAUAGUAUCAGUUGCCGUCUAGUUCUUGAAAGAACUGUAAGAGCUAUCCCUGUGGAUGUUCUGUUUGAUUUCAACAAGUAUUACUCUCUGUCACUAUCUGGAAUUGUCUAAGCAAAUAUUAUUGAGAAUAUUUGAGCCUAGCUUCAUCAAUUGAAUUUUCUUGAGUUAAAUAUUAUCUGUUUCGGUUGUCGUUCUGAGUUGUCUUCCAAUCUUUACCAAAAGGGGGUCCCAUCAAUCUCUCUGGUGGAGCCCGAGAUUUGCACAGGACGACGCCGGCGAGGGCUUCGGGAGCAUGCCGCAUCAGUCACACCACAGCGGAAGGCCAUCUCUGCCGUCCACGACGACGCUGGGGCCUACCUUGGUGAGGAGGAUGAGAACUACAAUACCAUUGGUAGGACCUGUACAAUGUAGGGCAGAACUUCCUUCAGAUGCUCUGCGGGGGUGAGUACGCGGAUUUCCCCUAGGAGGUAGAGGAGGAGAAGAAGCUUGGGAAGUUGCCGCCACCACGGGGGGCGCACACCGUUGUAGUGGCCUCAGAGGCCUCCUUCGUUGCCGGUGAUUCAGACGCCCCCGCUCUUGCUGCCUCCUCCCACGGAGCAGGAGCCGCCUUCGGAUUUCUCCUAGUUGCUGAUGUCGAUCCCUGGCAUCGGUGGGGAUCCUGCGAUCGAGAGAGGCAUGGAUGGAUGGGUCGAGGGGGUACGCUGAGGUGGGAUCCUGUCCGUCGAGGAUGUCUGCCGCUGAAGAAGCUGUGUGAUGAUGAGAGGUGAGAGGCCAAGCGGACAAAUCUUAAGAGUGAAUCAUCAUCUUCUUGUCAUGUUCUCCACAUAACAAGAGCCCUAUCAUUCAUUCCAUGACCCAACGCUUCACCCAUCAGAUUGCUUUGCAGUAACAUAUCAAUGAAAUAAAAUCUGCUCCGCUGAGAAAAAUCGU
RNAcentral lists this long non-coding RNA (2205 nucleotides) under Spirodela polyrhiza (greater duckweed). RNAcentral's name for it is "long non-coding RNA (SPOL_LNC000480)". Lineage: Eukaryota; Viridiplantae; Streptophyta; Magnoliopsida; Alismatales; Araceae. The record is from RNAcentral.